GCAUGCGUAGUUCAAUGGUAGAACGUUAGCUUCCCAAGCUGAAUACGCGGGUCCGAUUCCCGUCGCGUGCUCCA
This 74-nucleotide transfer RNA is filed under the name Bacilli bacterium. RNAcentral describes it as "tRNA-Gly". It matches the Rfam family "tRNA". From Rfam's summary of the family: Transfer RNA (tRNA) molecules are approximately 80 nucleotides in length. Their secondary structure includes four short double-helical elements and three loops (D, anti-codon, and T loops). Further hydrogen bonds mediate the characteristic L-shaped molecular structure. tRNAs have two regions of fundamental functional importance: the anti-codon, which is responsible for specific mRNA codon recognition, and the 3' end, to which the tRNAs corresponding amino acid is attached (by aminoacyl-tRNA synthetases). tRNAs cope with the degeneracy of the genetic code in two manners: having more than one tRNA (with a specific anti-codon) for a particular amino acid; and 'wobble' base-pairing, i.e. permitting non-standard base-pairing at the 3rd anti-codon position. Lineage: Bacteria; Bacillati; Bacillota; Bacilli. RNAcentral also lists the same sequence under 1 other name. The record is from RNAcentral.